This 505-nucleotide long non-coding RNA is filed under the name Mus pahari (shrew mouse). RNAcentral describes it as "predicted gene, 44096 (MGP_PahariEiJ_G0003000.1)". Lineage: Eukaryota; Metazoa; Chordata; Mammalia; Rodentia; Muridae. The record is from RNAcentral.
CCCCAGCCUUUGACAAGAUUGUAGAGCAGCAAUACUUAUGUGUCUCUUUGUAAGCUCUCAAAACUCAGGCUCUGCCCCCCAGCGGCCUUCCCUCAGAGCUUGGUGGGUCCCUGCAGACACCUUGGUGGAACCCUCGUCUGCCUCUGGGAGAACUUGAAGUUUGUGACUCAAGAACCAGAGUCUUUCUUUCCUCUCCUUCUUGGUCAAGAACGGGUGAGUUCAGGCUAGUGAGAUGGCUCAGCGGUUAAGAGCACUGAUUGCUCUUCUGAAGGUCCUGAGUUCAAAUCCCAGCAACCACAUGGUGGCUCACAAUGAGAUCUGACUCCCUCUUCUGGUGUGUCUAAAGACAGCUACAGUGUACUUACAGUGUACUUACAGUGUACUUAUAAUAAAUACAACUUUGGGCCGGAGCAAGCAGAGGUCUUGAGUUCAGUCCCCAGCGACCUCAUAAUGGCUCACAACCAUCUGCGUACUCAUAUACAUAAAAUAAAUAAUAAAUCUUAAA